CAGGGCCGCUGGUGGACACGGUGUCCCGCGUGGUCCGCAGCCCUGCCAUCGGCUCAGACAUCAGUCGCCUCCGCGUGAUCAAGGAGCACUGUCCCGACGACGUGACCUACGACCAGUUGAAGACCUGCCUGGCCGUGAUCGCCCGUUUGUACGGCCUGACCGGUCGCUCGUGCAGCUCGGCCGGCCGCCCCCAGACCGAGCGGGCCGCCGCCCCGCCCGCCAGCCAGCCGACCGGUUCCCCCGAGCGGGCCACGCCCUCAUCGGGCGGCGCCGAGCCGUCGGACGGAGGCUGGCUGUCGGCGCGCGGCCCGGCCACCACCAUCGUGCCUGCACGCCGACUGGAGACCUCGCAAGCACGGCUGACGCGCUACCUGGCGCCGGCGGCAGG
Pollicipes pollicipes is the source of this 388-nucleotide long non-coding RNA. RefSeq lists it as uncharacterized. The record is from RefSeq and is a predicted model, not a curated record. The transcript has 3 exons. NCBI's taxonomy places the organism in Eukaryota, Metazoa, Arthropoda, Thecostraca, Pollicipedomorpha, Pollicipedidae.